This 439-nucleotide unclassified non-coding RNA is filed under the name Hevea brasiliensis (rubber tree). Lineage: Eukaryota; Viridiplantae; Streptophyta; Magnoliopsida; Malpighiales; Euphorbiaceae. The record is from RNAcentral.
AUUAUGAAAUCUUUCAGCCGUUUCACAUCAGAUAGUUUUACUGGUUUCACUAUGAAUUCCUCUGCUCCUUCUUCCAAACACCUGUCAAUUCGAGCCAAAAUGUUCUCAGAUGACAUGAUCACUACAGGUAUCUCCCUAAAAGCUGAUGAUUCCUUGAUCUUUCUAAGCAGUUCAUAUCCUGUCAUCCCCGGCAUGGAGUAAUCCGUCAUUAUAAGAUUCACUUUCAAGUCGUUGAACCCAACGGAGUUCUUCUCUCCAUCCAAUCCAAGAUACUGCAGGGCUCUAGUCCCACUCUCGACAGCCGUAACUUUACAUGAUGAGAUCUUGAGCAACUGCUCAAUAAACUUCCGGUCCACAUGGCUAUCAUCUACAGCAAGAACAUGAAGCUCUUCUGAAGUCGAAGAUGACCCAUUGGAAACUCCAACCUCCUCCGGCAAAC